GAUGAACGCUGGCGGCGUGCCUAAUACAUGCAAGUCGAGCGAACAGACGAGGAGCUUGCUCCUCUGACGUUAGCGGCGGACGGGUGAGUAACACGUGGAUAACCUACCUAUAAGACUGGGAUAACUUCGGGAAACCGGAGCUAAUCCCGGAUAAUAUAUUGAACCGCAUGGUUCAAUAGUGAAAGACGGUUUUGCUGUCACUUAUAGCUGGAUCCGCGCCGCAUUAGCUGGUUGGUAAGGUAACGGCUUACCAAGGCAACGAUGCGUAGCCGACCUGAGAGGGUGAUCGGCCACACUGGAGCUGAGACACGGUCCAGACUCCUACGGGAGGCAGCAGUAGGGAAUCUUCCGCAAUGGGCGAAAGCCUGACGGAGCAACGCCGCGUGAGUGAUGAAGGUCUUCGGAUCGUAAAACUCUGUUAUUAGUGAAGAACAAAUGUGUAAGUAACUAUGCACGUCUUGACGGUACCUAAUCAGAAAGCCACGGCUAACUACGUG
RNAcentral lists this ribosomal RNA (497 nucleotides) under uncultured bacterium. RNAcentral describes it as "partial 16S ribosomal RNA". It matches the Rfam family "Bacterial small subunit ribosomal RNA", at positions 28 to 507 of the family's 1533-position model. The record is from RNAcentral.